GCCAUGUUAACGUACGGUUAAAGUGCUUUUCUAUAGCGCUAGUGUUUUGUUAUUCUCUGCUGGACGGGUUGUUAUUCUCUGCGGAUGGGUUGACAUGCUGCACGCACAGGUGUUUGUGUAAACGUUCUUCAUCGGUGACAAACGGAUGUAGUUUGGUUGUAGAGUGCCGUGCUGUAACAGAUCUUGAAACCCACUAUUCCCUGGAUUAAAGUGGAGUGAGGUCAGCAUGUUGCCUUAACUCAGUUUUCUCAGUGUUUGGGUGUAGUCGACCCGGGGUAUCCUUCAGACCCUGCAGCCACUGGAAUGAAAGCUGCCUCACUGCGGUUAGUUAAAUAGUUGGACAAUGACAGCAUGUGGUGGCCAUGACUCAAGGCAGUCUGGGUGAGCGAUGGAACUACUGAGCUCUGGAGGACAAAGGAGAGAGAAUCAGCAAGAAAACACACACUGACCUGGUUUAAAUUUGCAUAGAAGGAUAAGAAGAAUUAGAUGGUUUCCACUGUCAAUGUUUCAAAAGUUAUGAGAACAGCUGGCAGUCUUAGUUAUUUGACUGCCAUAAUACAGUCUGAAGUCUUUAUUGGAUUACAUAACUCUUCUGGCAACAUUUGGAAGCACAAGAUUUGGAAUAAUAUUAUAAGCUCUCUGAUUGGUGAGUAGAUCUUAAUCCCCGCCUACAUUCCACAGUGACUGCUCG
This is a long non-coding RNA of Cyprinus carpio carpio, 691 nucleotides long. The record is from Ensembl. Lineage: Eukaryota; Metazoa; Chordata; Actinopteri; Cypriniformes; Cyprinidae.